GACGAACGCUGGCGGUGUGCCUAACACAUGCAAGUCGAGCGAGUGAAUUUCCUUCGGGAUUGAAGCUAGCGGCGGACGGGUGAGUAACACGUGGGCAACCUGCCUCAUAGAGGGGAAUAGCCUUUCGAAAGGAAGAUUAAUACAGCAUAAGACUGUAGCUUCGCAUGAAGUAGCAAUUAAAGGAGCAAUCCACUAUGAGAUGGGCCCGCGGCGCAUUAGCUAGUUGGUGAGGUAACGGCUCACCAAGGCGACGAUGCGUAGCCGACCUGAGGGGGUGAUCGGCCACAUUGGGACUGAGACACGGCCCAGACUCCUACGGGAGGCAGCAGUGGGGAAUAUUGCACAAUGGGGGAAACCCUGAUGCAGCAACGCCGCGUGAGUGAUGACGGCCUUCGGGUUGUAAAGCUCUGUCUUCAGGGACGAUAAUGACGGUACCUGAGGAGGAAGCCACGGCUAACUACGUGCCAGCCGCCGCCGUAA
Molecule: ribosomal RNA, 480 nt
Filed under: uncultured bacterium
Lineage: Bacteria
Description: partial 16S ribosomal RNA
Rfam family: Bacterial small subunit ribosomal RNA
Source: RNAcentral